AUGGCCAUGGCGACGGCGACGGCGACGAUGAUGGUUGGGGACAUCACCAGCGACGACGCAGCAACACAGCAAACGACGCCGGCGAGGCCACCGAUGUCGGAGACGGAGACGACACCGGUGAUGGAAGCAGCCACGGCAAGGGCAACCGCGACGAGAUGCGGCUAUGUACCGUCCCUUGGCCUGACCGGCGACGGCGACGGCAACGACACCGUCGACGAGGACAUCACCAACAACGACAAACAUAUGCAGCUAUCUUCCCUUGGCCUGGCCAGCUACUGCGACGGGGAUCGUGACGGCAUCGCCGAUGGGCGACAUCACCGGCGAUGA
This 327-nucleotide ribosomal RNA is filed under the name Triticum aestivum (bread wheat). Its description in RNAcentral is "partial small subunit ribosomal RNA". The record is from RNAcentral. Lineage: Eukaryota; Viridiplantae; Streptophyta; Magnoliopsida; Poales; Poaceae.